ACAGUUCUCUUUAAACAUGUUUUAUCUCUCCCACGUUGUCUCAUUUCUAGGCAUUGCUGUCUCAUCCCCCACCUGGAAUGUGCUCUCAACCUUGUCCCUGCUUUCCCUUGUUCAGCUCCAUUGUGCAGAAGGGGCCACAGCCAGAUUUGGGCCGCUAGGGGGCAAAAUUUAACCAAUUUCUUCCUAGUGGUGACGUGCAAUAAUGCAUAUUUUUUGCGCUGUCUUAAUUUUCCUCCCUUCCCUCUCCAAUGCCUGAAAGUAAAUGGCCCUGAAAUGGGGGAAAAAAGUGCAAUCAGAGGGUGCAGGAAAUGUCAAAGCACGUCAUGGCCCCAUAUGCAGGUGAGAGAUUAGAGGGCUCCUCCCUUCUUGGCCGAUAAAAACUGGCAGAGGCAGAGAUAGGACUGAGCUUUGGCUGAGCCUGUGCCAGAGAGGGGAGAAAAAAAUCCCAAGUGGAAACAAAUUCAGUGGAGAAGCAGCCAGUGGAGGAAAAGCAACCCGAAAACAGCACCAGUGACACCAAGGAAAACACCAAAAAGAUUUCAUGGUGUUUUGCAGUGGAGGGUCAUGGUGAUAUUUGCUCAUAACAAUCCAUCUGGGGAAAUCUGGCCAGGAGGGGAAGACACUGCAGGCACAAUGGCUUUCUUCCUCAAACCACGGCCAUGCACGUGGGACCUUGCCCUGGACUACCACACUGCCAAACAGUUUGAAGGUAAUCAAAGCAGGAGCAAAGUACUAAUACCUGGUGUUUUCUGGGCUGCAUCAAAUGAGAUGUCUAAUGAGUUGGAGAUUCUCCAGCUCUACCUUCUGUAUCCCUGGGUCCUCCAUCUCCAGCCUCCAUGUCUUAACUCAUCCAUCUCCAAGCUGGCCCAGAGAUCCUCCAUCUCCAGCAUCCAUAUUUUAUCUCUUCCUUCUACAGUCUCAACUGGAGAGUCUCCUUUUCUUGACUUCUCUGUCUCCGACCUGAGCUGGAUAUCCUCCAUUUCCAACCUCCACCUCUUCACUCUUCCAUCUCCAACCUCACCCCUCCUCUCCCUUUCUCCUUGAAAAGUCAGCAGUGACUUUUGAAUCAGGUUUUUG
This 1077-nucleotide long non-coding RNA is filed under the name Lepidothrix coronata (blue-crowned manakin). RNAcentral describes it as "lncRNA (ENSLCOG00000003703.1)". Lineage: Eukaryota; Metazoa; Chordata; Aves; Passeriformes; Pipridae. The record is from RNAcentral.